UUCCAUGGUACUCUGAUGAGGACCGUCCGUUGUUGUGUUCCACUGGCUGAGAGGAAGAAACCUCACAUCUUCCUCUUGGCCUUUCUCCUCUGAGAACCCUGGCGCCAUCUUGAAGGAUAUUCCAGCUCAUGUAACUGAUGUCACGACAGAUUCUCAAACACUUGGUUUCUCCUGAGGGGUUUGUCUAUAGAACUGAAGACUUCAGACAGCACUGUAUCCCAGCAUGCAUCUCUGCUCACUCAGACCACACCCCCAUGAGUAGGAUGCAACACUCUAGUGAUGGAGAUGUAGAGUUUUAUAAGUAACGAGGGAGCAGACAAAGGUGAUUAGAACACUAUGGAAUGUCAAGUCUGUAAAUCUUUAAACCAUGAAGAUGGUUGGAUAGUUCAGGAAUUGGGCUUCUCUUCAUCAUUGGCAGUCCUUUCACUCAGAUGCCCACUUCUCACUGGAGCUGUAUAUGUGUUGGCUGGCUGGCAUGAUUUGCUGUUGGUGAUGAGGCGGUCAGGGUGACAUUGCAGGGCUAUGGUCUGCUCGCUGUGAGCGGCUUGCCGUGAGCUCAACGUUUAGAUUUGCUCUGUAUGGUUUUUACCCUGAAUAAUCUAGAUAAUUGUAAAAUGUAGACACGCUUUUGUAUUGAAUGAUUCCAGGAUUUUAUGUUUAAAGUUGUUGUGGGACGAACAUGGUAGUUUGGUUCUUCGUACGGUUUUAAGUGAUAUAACUUGUAUACACUGGGUGCGUAAUAAUGUAAAGGUACACUGAAUAGUAUUAAUGACCAACAGCAACAAACAGAUCUCCUCAAGGUAAGUCUGUUGGCUGUGUUUUAAUGAAGACCAUCGCUGGACUUCAGGAUCUUCCUCCGUUCAGCUCAAGGUGAGGCGCUGGUUCUGUUUUUUCUUUGGUUGGUUCCGGCUGGAAUGUUCGGAUUCCAGUCGGACGGUUUGUGCUUCCCGCCGUGGAAGUUUCUGAGUGCGGUAAUUUGAUUUAGUCCCAAUGGUUGGCAUAGAACGUUGUAGUCUUAAACCAUAAGAAACCACCUGGCAGUUAGUUGGACGGGAGUCCCCUGAGGGAAUCAGGCGGAACGUUCUGGAUUGUAUUUGCGUAACCUCGAGCCGUUGCCAACGGAAAAUAUUUUUCAGUCGGUUUCCAUUGGGAAUGGUUGCCCCCUAUCUUAAACAACUUAAGUUUGAUAUUAAAUACAUACUGACACGUACGUCGUACAAUAUGUUGAUAAUUUCCGAUGGUUGCACCGUACUUUUAACCACGAUGACGUGACGGGACUCUCACUACGUACAAAACAGCGUUCUACUUGCGGGCCCAUUUUUGACAUCAGUGAAGGCUGAAAAUAAUUUCAAGGUGGAAGCUAAUUUGACAUUUCUUCAACGGAACCCAGCACCUGAAUAUGGCUGAGUAUAUUUGAUUUACUAUCGAUACUGCUUCGUGUUCUUUGUUACUUCAGCUUUUGUAUGUUCUAAAUAUCUGCUGUCAUUAAUUGCCACAGAAGAUAAACCCUACCCGAUGGAAUGAUGUUAAACAACGACUUUGGUGCAGAGUUACCAACUGGAUAAUAUCAAAGCUAAAAUAAUGUCUGCCCUUCCCACAUGUUACAGUAGAAGAUACUCCUAGAACUGUACAAGGUUGAAAAGGUAACAUGUAGUUUGUCCCAAGGUGUCUGCCUCCUCACCCAGAGCAAGACCUCCACCUCCUCACCCAAAGCCAGACCUCCACCUCCUGUCAGAAGUCCUCCAGAACAGCUGAAAGGCGAGGCUGGGGACCGGAGGCUUGUGGUGCCAGAGUGGACCGGAGACUGAGGCUGGAGACCAGGGGCCUGCAGCACCGGACCAGAGGACCAGGAAUCCAUGGCUGAAGGAGCUGAUGGAGGAGCCGUGCUGAAGGAGCUGAUGGAGGAGCCGUGCUGACGGAGCUGAUGGAGGAGCCGUGCUGAAGGCCCUGCCUGAUGGAGGAGCUGGUGGAGGGCCUGCCUGGUGAAUGACGUCCGUCGUGGGGUAGAUGGAGCCUGACUCUGAAACCAGGACUCUGUCUGAGGAGAGCUGCUGGAGGAGCUGAGACGCUGGAGGACGACUAGGAAUCGUCCAACAAGGAUUCCUCGUAAAACGUGUUUCUGGAGCGGAGGCGAGCUGGUAGGGGCGCCGUGAAUCUGGAGGAUGACCAUCACUCUACCAACAAGGAGUACUUUAGGGCCAGACUCGCGCUGUUUGUUCCAGACUAGGACUCUGGCUGAGGAGAGCUGAUGGAGGAGCCAAGACUCUGGAGGACGACAUCACUCUACCAACCAGGAUCCUCACCAGGAAUCUGGAGGACCGAUGGAGAAGCCGUACAUCUGGAAGGCAACUCCUUAGGACAACCAGGACUCUACCAUCAAGGAUUCCUUAUAAGUUUGCAUUAUCUGGACAUAGUGGACUAGACACACCUGAGCUGAACCUCACCUGAUCCAGUUUUGUCGGGGGUAGACACACCUGAGCUGAACCCGCCCCAAUCCUGACAUCCUGCUGGUCCCGUCUCCUCAGUUCAUCUGAGCCUCGUCCUCCAGAAGACCUGCUGAGCUCAGCAGUCUGAGGCUGAUGGAUCAAUGACCUCCAGUGG
Gadus macrocephalus (Pacific cod) is the source of this 2601-nucleotide long non-coding RNA. RefSeq lists it as uncharacterized. The transcript has 8 exons. The record is from RefSeq and is a predicted model, not a curated record. NCBI's taxonomy places the organism in Eukaryota, Metazoa, Chordata, Actinopteri, Gadiformes, Gadidae.